CCCGAAGUAGCUUAGUGGUCAGAGCAUUGGCGCGUAAAGUCAAAGAGCCCGGGUUCGAUUCCCGGCGGGG
This is a non-coding RNA of Agrilus planipennis (emerald ash borer), 70 nucleotides long. Lineage: Eukaryota; Metazoa; Arthropoda; Insecta; Coleoptera; Buprestidae. The record is from Rfam.